RNAcentral lists this non-coding RNA (30 nucleotides) under Mus musculus (house mouse). Lineage: Eukaryota; Metazoa; Chordata; Mammalia; Rodentia; Muridae. The record is from RNAcentral.
UAAGUUGGUUGUUGUUCUGUCAUGCACUGA